AACGAACGCUGGCGGCGCGUCUUAAACAUGCAAGUCGAACGGCAGGAAGGGGCUUGCCCCUUCUGAGAGUGGCGGACUGGUGAGUAACACGUGGGUGACAUACCUUUUAGUUGGGGAUAGCUAUUAGAAAUAGUAGGUAAUACCGAAUGUGACCGUACCUGUUAGAGGGGUACGAGGAAAGGAGCUAAGGCUUCGCUAAAAGAAUGGCUCGCGGCCCAUUAUGCUCGUUGGUGAGGUAACGGCCCACCAAGGCGAUGAUGGGUAUCCGGCCUGAGAGGGUGAACGGACACAUUGGGACUGAGAUACGGCCCAGACUUCUACGGGAGGCAGCAGUUAAGAAUAUUCCGCAAAGGACGAAAGUCUGACGGAGCGACGCCGCGUGGAUGAAGAAUGCCGAAAGGUUGUAAAAUCCUUUUAAGCCUGAUGAAUAAGCACAGUAGGGAAUGAUUGUGCGGUGACCGUAGGGCUUGAAUAAGCACCGGCUAAGUACGUG
RNAcentral lists this ribosomal RNA (493 nucleotides) under uncultured bacterium. RNAcentral describes it as "partial 16S ribosomal RNA". It matches the Rfam family "Bacterial small subunit ribosomal RNA", at positions 29 to 507 of the family's 1533-position model. The record is from RNAcentral.